RNAcentral lists this ribosomal RNA (260 nucleotides) under Mycobacterium tuberculosis. Its description in RNAcentral is "partial 16S ribosomal RNA". It matches the Rfam family "Bacterial small subunit ribosomal RNA", at positions 1270 to 1528 of the family's 1533-position model. The record is from RNAcentral. Lineage: Bacteria; Bacillati; Actinomycetota; Actinomycetes; Mycobacteriales; Mycobacteriaceae.
AUCCCUUAAAAGCCGGUCUCAGUUCGGAUCGGGGUCUGCAACUCGACCCCGUGAAGUCGGAGUCGCUAGUAAUCGCAGAUCAGCAACGCUGCGGUGAAUACGUUCCCGGGCCUUGUACACACCGCCCGUCGCGUCAUGAAAGUCGGUAACACCCGAAGCCAGUGGCCUAACCCUCGGGAGGGAGCUGUCGAAGGUGGGAUCGGCGAUUGGGACGAAGUCGUAACAAGGUAGCCGUACCGGAAGGUGCGGCUGGAUCACCU